Jaculus jaculus (lesser Egyptian jerboa) is the source of this 105-nucleotide small nuclear RNA. NCBI's taxonomy places the organism in Eukaryota, Metazoa, Chordata, Mammalia, Rodentia, Dipodidae. The record is from RefSeq and is a predicted model, not a curated record.
GGGCUCGCUUUAGCAGCACAAAUAGUAGAACUGGGUCAAUACAGAGAAGAUUAGCAUGGCCCCUCAGGGAUGACAUGCUCUCUGUAUUUAAAAAAAAUUUCUUUU